Molecule: ribosomal RNA, 251 nt
Filed under: uncultured prokaryote
Description: partial 16S rRNA
Rfam family: Bacterial small subunit ribosomal RNA
Source: RNAcentral
ACGUAGGGGGCCAGCGUUGUCCGGAAUUACUGGGCGUAAAGAGCGCGUAGGCUGUUUGGUAAGCGGAGGGUGAAAUUCCGGGGCUCAACCCCGGAGCUGCUCUCCGAACUGCCAGACUAGAGUUUGGGAGAGGGUAGUGGAAUUCCUGGUGUAGCGGUGGAAUGCGUAAAUAUCAGGAAGAACACCUGUGGCGAAGGCUGCUACCUGGAACAAUACUGACGCUGAGGCGCGAAAGCUAGGGGAGCGAACGG